AAAAAGCGGAGGAAAAGAAACCAACAGGGUAUUGCCUUAGUAGCGGCGAGUGAAGCGGCAAGAGCUCAAAUUUGAAAUCUGGUACCUUUGGUGCCCGAGUUGUAAUUUGAAGAAAGCUAUCUUGGAUUUGGCCUUUGUCUAUGUUCCUUGGAACGGGACGUCAUAGAGGGUGAGAAUCCCGUCUGAUGGGGUGUCCAUUUCUAUGUAAGAUGCUUUCGAAGAGUCGAGUUGUUUGGGAAUGCAGCUCUAAGUGGGUGGUAAAUUCCAUCUAAAGCUAAAUAUUGGCGAGAGACCGAUAGCGAACAAGUACUGUGAAGGAAAGAUGAAAAGAACUUUGAAAAGAGAGUGAAAAAGUACGUGAAAUUGUUGAAAGGGAAGGGUAUUUGAUCAGACUUGGUAUUUAGUUAUCGUUCGCUUUUGUGGGCGCUCUAACUUUUUACUGGGCCAGCAUCAGUUUUGGUGGCAAGAUAAUGACAGUUGAAUGUGGCUCCUCGGAGUGUUAUAGCUUCUGUUGAUAUUGCCUAUCGGGACUGAGGUCUGCGGCUUUGCCUAGGAUGCUGGCGUAAUGAUCCAAUACCGCCCGUCUUGACCCCCCGGAACCA
RNAcentral lists this ribosomal RNA (602 nucleotides) under Ogataea sp. A1149. Its description in RNAcentral is "eukaryotic LSU rRNA". It matches the Rfam family "Eukaryotic large subunit ribosomal RNA", at positions 45 to 669 of the family's 3401-position model. Lineage: Eukaryota; Fungi; Ascomycota; Pichiomycetes; Pichiales; Pichiaceae. The record is from RNAcentral.